This is a long non-coding RNA of Bombus impatiens (common eastern bumble bee), 209 nucleotides long. RefSeq lists it as uncharacterized. The record is from RefSeq and is a predicted model, not a curated record. Lineage: Eukaryota; Metazoa; Arthropoda; Insecta; Hymenoptera; Apidae. The transcript has 2 exons.
AUUCCAUAAGUAUUCACUUAAGUUUGGUAGUAGGCUUGUUGUAACUGAGUCGGUUUUAAUGUGUAUCUUCCGAUGUUAUGAUUGGUUACCUCGGUAUUUAUUACUUUCGAUAUCUUCAUACCGUCGUAUAUUAUGUUUUGCAAAGUUGGAUCCGUAGCCAGUUCUCGUGGAGUUCCUACAUGCACACUUCCUUCUACGAUGAUUGGUUG